GACGAACCGUGCGAACGUUGUUCGGAAUCACUGGGCUUAAAGGGCGCGUAGGCGGGCUGACGAGUCCGGGGUGAAAUCCUCCCGCUCAACGGGAGAACGGCCCCGGGUACUGUCGGCCUCGAGGCGGGUAGGGGCGUGCGGAACUCUGGGUGGAGCGGUGAAAUGCGUUGAUAUCCAGAGGAACUCCGGUGGCGAAGGCGGCACGCUGGACCCGAUCUGACGCUGAGGCGCGAAAGCCAGGGGAGCGAACGGG
This 253-nucleotide ribosomal RNA is filed under the name uncultured bacterium. RNAcentral's name for it is "partial 16S ribosomal RNA". It matches the Rfam family "Bacterial small subunit ribosomal RNA", at positions 524 to 776 of the family's 1533-position model. The record is from RNAcentral.